UUCUUCUUUCGAUGUAUCAAAUUUUGGAAGUGAUUUGUCAUUAAUGGGUGUUCUCAAAGGUUUUCCAGUCUGCUGUUUGAUACAUAUUUAGGGUAUAAGAUUCAGAUCAAAUAUUGGGCCAUGUCACCUCUAAAUUUCGCGUAUAUGAGGAAUGUGGUUGUCCACGACUAAUGUAUUAAAGAAAAUGAUUACAAGAAAAGUACACGUAAUGCCAUGCUAAUUAAACAUGGGAUUUGUGAUGGUGGG
Molecule: unclassified non-coding RNA, 246 nt
Filed under: Hevea brasiliensis (rubber tree)
Lineage: Eukaryota; Viridiplantae; Streptophyta; Magnoliopsida; Malpighiales; Euphorbiaceae
Source: RNAcentral